RNAcentral lists this ribosomal RNA (300 nucleotides) under uncultured bacterium. RNAcentral's name for it is "bacterial SSU rRNA". It matches the Rfam family "Bacterial small subunit ribosomal RNA", at positions 115 to 433 of the family's 1533-position model. The record is from RNAcentral.
GCGUAAGAAUCUACCUUUAGGAGGGGGAAAACAACUGGAAACGGUUGCUAACACCCCAUAUGCUGAGGAGUAAAAUACAUUGUGCCUAGAGAUGAGCUUGCGUCUGAUUAGUUAGUUGGUAAGGUAAUUGCUUCCCAAGACUAUGAUCAGUAGCUGGUCUGAGAGGAUGAUCAGCCACACUGGGACUGAGACACGGCCCAGACUCCUACGGGAGGCAGCAGUGAGGAAUUUUCCGCAAUGGGCGAAAGCCUGACGGAGCAAUGCCGCGUGGAGGAUGAAAGCCUAUGGGUUGUAAACUCC